AUGCUGUCCGAGAUCGACCUCAGCUUCCCGUCACGACGCCAGAAAGCGUUGUCCUUCUUCUCCACGGCCAGCAGUUCCUCGAAGGCGGUAUCGCGCACCCCUUUGGCGAAGGCUCCUUCACGGAUUCUCUUCUCCGCUUCAUCGUUGCUCUCCUCCAUCUGCCACGACGAAAGGUUUGGUGUCAAAACACCUGGCAGUUCAUAUCACGGGGCAAAGGUGCUUGCUUGUGAGCAGAACAGAAGCGCGUUACCAGUUUGUAGCACGAUGACAGCUGAAGCUGCUCAUGGAGAUUAUGGUAAAUGCUGGCAUCUUUCUUUAGUCUUUCAUAUUCAAAUUCCAACUUAUCCACCUACAGCAAUGCCCAAGGGUAUAAAAAAGGCUGAAGUCGGCACAACAUUGCAUCUUCGAAUGUUAACAGCAUUUCUUAGUUGA
RNAcentral lists this ribosomal RNA (432 nucleotides) under Triticum aestivum (bread wheat). RNAcentral describes it as "partial small subunit ribosomal RNA". The record is from RNAcentral. Lineage: Eukaryota; Viridiplantae; Streptophyta; Magnoliopsida; Poales; Poaceae.